RNAcentral lists this ribosomal RNA (467 nucleotides) under uncultured bacterium. Its description in RNAcentral is "partial 16S ribosomal RNA". It matches the Rfam family "Bacterial small subunit ribosomal RNA", at positions 28 to 507 of the family's 1533-position model. The record is from RNAcentral.
GACGAACGCUGGCGGCGCGCUUAACACAUGCAAGUCGAACGAGGAAGCCCAGCUUGCUGGGUGGAAGAGUGGCGAACGGGUGAGUAACACGUGAGUAACCUGCCCUGAACUCUGGGAUAAGCACUGGAAACGGUGUCUAAUACUGGAUACGACCUAUCACCGCAUGGUGUGUGGGUGGAAAGAUUUAUCGGUUCUGGAUGGACUCGCGGCCUAUCAGCUAGAUGGUGAGGUAAUGGCUCACCAUGGCGACGACGGGUAGCCGGCCUGAGAGGGUGACCGGCCACACUGGGACUGAGAUACGGCCCAGACUCCUACGGGAGGCAGCAGUGGGGAAUAUUGCACAAUGGGCGCAAGCCUGAUGCAGCAACGCCGCGUGAGGGAUGACGGCCUUCGGGUUGUAAACCUCUUUUAGUAGGGAAGAAGCGAAAGUGACGGUACCUGCAGAAAAAGCACCGGCUAACUACGUG